GGCCUGAUGGUCUAGUAGCAUGAUUCUCGCUUUGGGU
RNAcentral lists this transfer RNA (37 nucleotides) under Moniliophthora perniciosa FA553. RNAcentral's name for it is "tRNA-Pro". The record is from RNAcentral. Lineage: Eukaryota; Fungi; Basidiomycota; Agaricomycetes; Agaricales; Marasmiaceae.